AUACGGAGGGUGCGAACGUUAAUCGGAAUUACUGGGCGUAAAGCGCGCGUAGGCGGUUCGGUAAGUGGGAUGUGAAAUCCCCGGGCUUAACCUGGGAACUGCAUUCGAAACUGCAAGUCUGGAGUAUGGUAGAGGAAAGUGGAAUUCCCGGUGUAGCGGUGAAAUGCGUAGGUAUCGGGAGGAACAUCAGUGGCGAAGGCGGCUUUCUGGACCAAUACUGACGCUGAGGUGCGAAAGCGUGGGGAGCAAACAGGAUUAGAAACCCCAGUAGUCC
Molecule: ribosomal RNA, 274 nt
Filed under: uncultured bacterium
Lineage: Bacteria
Description: partial 16S ribosomal RNA
Rfam family: Bacterial small subunit ribosomal RNA
Source: RNAcentral